GGAAAAGAUCAUAAGAGACUUUUUAGGGUAACCUCUGCUUGGGGAGCAAUGAUUGUAAAGAAAGUGCUGGGAAUAUCAUUAUUAAUCAUAAAGUUGGAAAAAAAUGGCUUACUGGAAAAUGAUUCCACGAGCGCAUGCAGGGUAAUAACUUUAUUUGGAAAUGAGAAAUGUCCAAGAUAUACAUGAAUGACCUUGGAUCCUGAUAUUUUGGUGUGAUUUUUGUAUGAUGUUCCACUUUGAGCGGCAUUACU
Molecule: long non-coding RNA, 251 nt
Filed under: Lathyrus oleraceus (garden pea)
Lineage: Eukaryota; Viridiplantae; Streptophyta; Magnoliopsida; Fabales; Fabaceae
Description: Pisum sativum (pea) long non-coding RNA (PSAT_LNC007513)
Source: RNAcentral